This 392-nucleotide ribosomal RNA is filed under the name uncultured bacterium. RNAcentral describes it as "partial 16S ribosomal RNA". It matches the Rfam family "Bacterial small subunit ribosomal RNA", at positions 523 to 918 of the family's 1533-position model. The record is from RNAcentral.
AUACGUAUGUCGCAAGCGUUAUCCGGAUUUAUUGGGCGUAAAGCGCGUCUAGGCGGCUUAGUAAGUCUGAUGUGAAAAUGCGGGGCUCAACCCCGUAUUGCGUUGGAAACUGCUAAACUAGAGUACUGGAGAGGUAGGCGGAACUACAAGUGUAGAGGUGAAAUUCGUAGAUAUGUGUAGGAAUGCCGAUGGGGAAGCCAGCCUACUGGACAGAUACUGGCGCUAAAGCGCGAAAGCGUGGGUAGCAAACAGGAUUAGAUGCCCUGGUAGUCCACGCCGUAAACGAUGAUUACUAGGUGUUGGGGGUCGAACCUCAGCGCCCAAGCUAACGCGAUAAGUAAUCCGCCUGGGCAGUACGUACGCAAGUAUGAAACUCAAAGGAAUUGACGGGG